This 253-nucleotide ribosomal RNA is filed under the name uncultured bacterium. Its description in RNAcentral is "partial 16S ribosomal RNA". It matches the Rfam family "Bacterial small subunit ribosomal RNA", at positions 524 to 776 of the family's 1533-position model. The record is from RNAcentral.
UACGGGGGGGGCAAGCGUUGUUCGGAAUUAUUGGGCGUAAAGGGCUCGCAGGCGGCCAACUAAGUCAGACGUGAAAUCCCUCGGCUCAACCGGGGAACUGCGUCUGAUACUGGAUGGCUUGAAUCCGGGAGAGGGAUGUGGAAUUCCAGGUGUAGCGGUGAAAUGCGUAGAUAUCUGGAGGAACACCGGUGGCGAAGGCGGCAUCCUGGACCGGUAUUGACGCUGAGGAGCGAAAGCCAGGGGAGCAAACGGG